Molecule: ribosomal RNA, 379 nt
Filed under: uncultured soil bacterium
Lineage: Bacteria
Description: bacterial SSU rRNA
Rfam family: Bacterial small subunit ribosomal RNA
Source: RNAcentral
AGAUUGAACGCUGGCGGCAUGCUUUACACAUGCAAGUCGAACGGCAGCACGGGGGCAACCCUGGUGGCGAGUGGCGAACGGGUGAGUAAUAUAUCGGAACGUACCCGGAAAUGGGGGAUAACGUAGCGAAAGUUACGCUAAUACCGCAUAUGCCCUGAGGGGAAGGCGGGGAGUUCGACGAGAACCUCGCGUUUUCGGAGCGGCCGAUAUCGGAUUAGCUAGUAGGUGAGGUAAAGGCUCACCUAGGCGACGAUCCGUAGCUGGUCUGAGAGGACGACCAGCCACACUGGAACUGAGACACGGUCCAGACUCCUACGGGAGGCAGCAGUGGGAAUUUGGACAAUGGGCGCAAGCCUGAUCCAGCCAUGCCGCGUGAGUG